UUUGCCCCCAAAGGUUUGGGUUACCCCCGGGCUACAAUGGCCGAAACAUUGGGUUCCCUCCCCGAAAAGGAGAGGUAAUUCCCAAAACUCGGUCGUAAUUCGGAUUGGGGGUUGAAACUCCCCCCCAUGAAGCUGGAUUCCGUAUUAAUCCCUUUUCAAAAGAGGGGGGGGAAUACCUCCCUGCCCCUUGCAAAAA
Molecule: ribosomal RNA, 196 nt
Filed under: uncultured haloarchaeon
Lineage: Archaea; Methanobacteriati; Methanobacteriota; Halobacteria; Halobacteriales; Halobacteriaceae
Description: partial 16S ribosomal RNA
Rfam family: Archaeal small subunit ribosomal RNA
Source: RNAcentral